AACGAACGCUGGCGGCAGGCUUAACACAUGCAAGUCGAACGCACUCUUCGGAGUGAGUGGCAGACGGGUGAGUAACGCGUGGGAAUCUACCCAGUCCUUCGGAAUAGCUCCUGGAAACGGGAAUUAAUACCGGAUACGCCCUUUUGGGGAAAGAUUUAUCGGUAUUGGAUGAGCCCGAGUAAGAUUAGCUAGUUGGUGGGGUAAUGGCCUACAAAGGCGACGAUCUUUAGCUGGUCUGAGAGGAUGAUCAGCCACACUGGGACUGAGACACGGCCCAGACUCCUACGGGAGGCAGCAGUGGGGAAUAUUGGACAAUGGGCGCAAGCCUGAUCCAGCCAUGCCGCGUGAGUGAUGAAGGCCUUAGGGUUGUAAAGCUCUUUCACCGGUGAAGAUAAUGACGGUAACCGGAGAAGAAGCCCCGGCUAACCUCGUGCCAGCCGCCGCGGUAA
This 449-nucleotide ribosomal RNA is filed under the name uncultured bacterium. RNAcentral's name for it is "partial 16S ribosomal RNA". It matches the Rfam family "Bacterial small subunit ribosomal RNA", at positions 29 to 523 of the family's 1533-position model. The record is from RNAcentral.